Molecule: non-coding RNA, 86 nt
Filed under: Pseudomonas knackmussii B13
Lineage: Bacteria; Pseudomonadati; Pseudomonadota; Gammaproteobacteria; Pseudomonadales; Pseudomonadaceae
Source: RNAcentral
GUCUAUGGCGGACCGUGCAAGGCGGGCUUCGGCCCGGCCGGUCUGGUAAUAGCCGGUUUUCCACCCUUGCACGGUCCGCCUCCCCU